RNAcentral lists this transfer RNA (83 nucleotides) under Suillus plorans. It matches the Rfam family "tRNA". Rfam says of the family: Transfer RNA (tRNA) molecules are approximately 80 nucleotides in length. Their secondary structure includes four short double-helical elements and three loops (D, anti-codon, and T loops). Further hydrogen bonds mediate the characteristic L-shaped molecular structure. tRNAs have two regions of fundamental functional importance: the anti-codon, which is responsible for specific mRNA codon recognition, and the 3' end, to which the tRNAs corresponding amino acid is attached (by aminoacyl-tRNA synthetases). tRNAs cope with the degeneracy of the genetic code in two manners: having more than one tRNA (with a specific anti-codon) for a particular amino acid; and 'wobble' base-pairing, i.e. permitting non-standard base-pairing at the 3rd anti-codon position. The record is from Rfam by way of RNAcentral. Lineage: Eukaryota; Fungi; Basidiomycota; Agaricomycetes; Boletales; Suillaceae.
UCGGAUAUGGUGUAAUGGUUAACAUUACCGCCUCUCAAUCUUAGAAUUCGCGGUAGCUCGGGGUUCGAUUCCCCGUAUCCGAA